AUCAAGUUGGUAAACAAAGCCAACAAAAGCUUUUAUUCUAGUUCAUUAUUUAGUUUCCAAUUACAGCAGAAUACUGCCUCUAUUCCAUUACUUGAGACAGAUUAUCGGACUUCUAUAGCUAUGUUCUACUCAGCUUCUCUCAAGUUAUAUUCUACAGCUCAAAGAUGUAACACGAACUUAAUUCUCACAAUCCAUAGCGUUACAUAGACCAGGCUAAUCUAGAAUAUGGUGAUCUUGCCUCACGAAGCCUUCUUUCUUCUGAUAAUAGCUUAGCAAACCUGCAAACAUGGAAGUUAGAAUACUUCAAAACUGAUGAUGAUUUUAUGGAAUAAGCAUGUUAAUACUAAUUUGUGUAGUCACCUUAUAAGAGCUUCUUCAUUUGUUCCUUCUCCCUUGCCU
RNAcentral lists this long non-coding RNA (399 nucleotides) under Elaeis guineensis (African oil palm). RNAcentral describes it as "long non-coding RNA (EGUI_LNC071395)". Lineage: Eukaryota; Viridiplantae; Streptophyta; Magnoliopsida; Arecales; Arecaceae. The record is from RNAcentral.